This 94-nucleotide microRNA precursor is filed under the name Corchorus capsularis. RNAcentral describes it as "pre miRNA MIR167_1". Lineage: Eukaryota; Viridiplantae; Streptophyta; Magnoliopsida; Malvales; Malvaceae. The record is from RNAcentral.
ACCUACUAGCAGUUGAAGCUGCCAGCAUGAUCUAAACUUUCCUUCCAUGUUUGAGGUUAGAUCGGAUCAUGUGGUAGCUUCACCUGUUGUUGGG